AUUAGACGAAUCAUCUGGAAAGAUGAAUCAAAGAAGGUAAUAAUCCUGUAGUCGAAAAUGUUGUCUCUCUUGAGUGGAUCCUGAGUACGACGGAGCACGUGAAAUUCCGUCGGAAUCUGGGAGGACCAUCUCCUAAGGCUAAAUACUCUCUAGUGACCGAUAGUGAACCAGUACCGUGAGGGAAAGGUGAAAAGCACCCCGGAAGGGGAGUGAAAUAGAACCUGAAACCGUGUGCUUACAAGUAGUCAGAGCCCGUUAAUGGGUGAUGGCGUGCCUUUUGUAGAAUGAACCGGCGAGUUACGAUUUGAUGCAAGGUUAAGCAGUAAAUGUGGAGCCGUAGCGAAAGCGAGUCUGAAUAGGGCGUUUAGUAUUUGGUCGUAGACCCGAAACCAGGUGAUCUACCCUUGGUCAGGUUGAAGUUCAGGUAACACUGAAUGGAGGACCGAACCGACUUACGUUGAAAAGUGAGCGGAUGAACUGAGGGUAGCGGAGAAAUUCCA
RNAcentral lists this ribosomal RNA (500 nucleotides) under Staphylococcus aureus. RNAcentral's name for it is "partial 23S ribosomal RNA". It matches the Rfam family "Bacterial large subunit ribosomal RNA", at positions 328 to 831 of the family's 2925-position model. The record is from RNAcentral. Lineage: Bacteria; Bacillati; Bacillota; Bacilli; Caryophanales; Staphylococcaceae.